RNAcentral lists this ribosomal RNA (414 nucleotides) under Sudanonautes aubryi. RNAcentral describes it as "partial 12S ribosomal RNA". The record is from RNAcentral. Lineage: Eukaryota; Metazoa; Arthropoda; Malacostraca; Decapoda; Potamonautidae.
GAGGCUAAAAAGUUCUAGGGAUAAACUAGGAUUAGAUACCCUAUUAUACUAGAGUUUAAUGUGGAAGUGCCAGAUUAUUAAUAGGUAUGUUCUUUAAAUUUAAAGAAUUUGGCGGUAAUUUAGUCUAGUUAGAGGAACCUGUUUUUAAUCGAUAAACCACGUUGUAUCUUACUUAUUCUCUGUGGGUUUGUAUACCAUCAUUAGCAGAUAAUUUUAUAUAGAAGUAAAAUUAUUAUUUAUAAUUACUUAUGUAAAUUAGAUCAAGGUGCAGCUAAUGGAUAAGUUAAAAUGGGUUACAAUAAAUUUUAUUUAAAUGGAUUAAUAUUGGUAAGCUGAUUUAUAAAGGAGGAUUUAAUUGUAAUAUAGGUUUAAUAAGCCUAGGAGGUAAUAGUUCUAAAUUAUGUACAUAUCGCC